This 253-nucleotide ribosomal RNA is filed under the name uncultured bacterium. RNAcentral describes it as "partial 16S ribosomal RNA". It matches the Rfam family "Bacterial small subunit ribosomal RNA", at positions 524 to 776 of the family's 1533-position model. The record is from RNAcentral.
UACGUAGGGUGCAAGCGUUGUCCGGAAUUAUUGGGCGUAAAGGGCUCGUAGGCGGUCUGUCACGUCGGGAGUGAAAACUCGGGGCUUAACCCCGAGCCUGCUUCCGAUACGGGCAGACUAGAGGUAUGCAGGGGAGAAUGGAAUUCCUGGUGUAGCGGUGAAAUGCGCAGAUAUCAGGAGGAACACCGGUGGCGAAGGCGGUUCUCUGGGCAUUACCUGACGCUGAGGAGCGAAAGUGUGGGGAGCGAACAGG